Hydnum rufescens UP504 is the source of this 84-nucleotide non-coding RNA. Lineage: Eukaryota; Fungi; Basidiomycota; Agaricomycetes; Cantharellales; Hydnaceae. The record is from the annotation of a GenBank genome assembly.
GGUCUUUUAGCUCAGUUGGUUAGAGCGUGGUGCUAAUAUGAAUUAUGCACGCCAAGGUCACAGGUUCGACCCCUGUAAGGACCA